AUCAUAAUCAACUCUUACGGGAGAAGAACUUAAAGCUCUGCUUUGUUUUUAACCUUUUUUUGCCAAAGUGGAGUUUCUCUUAGAUUUAAUUUGUAAAUCUGACUUUUUCAUUAAUAUGAAUAUUAACAGUUUAGCAAAAAAAAAUCAACUCUUAUAUAACCAUUUGGUGUUGGGCCACGUAUUUUAAGCCUAUAACUUUUUAAAAACAAAAAAUAAAUAUUUAAUUUUCCUUUGAUAUAAAAUAUUACUUUAAUCCUUUAGAGCACCCCUAUAAUGGGGGAGUUCACACAGAAAUCAAGAAAAAAAUAAAAUAAAAUAAUUCAAUCACAUGAACCGUUCUCUCCUAAAACUCUCUCGGCUGAACUCUUCUCUCCUAAAGUUCAUCACUGUAGCGCGGGCUCCACGUAUCGUGGCGGUCCGCGAUUGGUUUAGUUUUUUUUUUUUUUAAAUAAAAAAAAAAAGAAAAAAAUUUAAUAAUAAAAAAUUAAAAAGAUGAACCCCAAGAGAGGGUUCAUUGAUGUGGGUGCUCUUAGUUUACAUACUAAAUACAAAAAAACUAUUAUACCACUACUUCUUUCUUCUAGAAAUAUAUAAUGUAUUUUAUAAAAUGAACGACAUGUACGAGUGAUUGAGUAAUUACCAUCGCUCUAA
This 651-nucleotide long non-coding RNA is filed under the name Brassica rapa (field mustard). RNAcentral describes it as "long non-coding RNA (BRAP_LNC000037)". The record is from RNAcentral. Lineage: Eukaryota; Viridiplantae; Streptophyta; Magnoliopsida; Brassicales; Brassicaceae.